Nerophis lumbriciformis (worm pipefish) is the source of this 413-nucleotide long non-coding RNA. RefSeq lists it as uncharacterized. Lineage: Eukaryota; Metazoa; Chordata; Actinopteri; Syngnathiformes; Syngnathidae. The record is from RefSeq and is a predicted model, not a curated record.
AUUUCCGCCAGGCUUCCGUAGUUUCCUCUAAUUUGGCAGCUUGCGACGCUGAGGAAGCAGAGCAGUGCAAGGAGUCACAGAGAAGGAGUUUAUGUGAUUUUUAGUUCAUUUUCAGAAUAAAACCUCCUGUAAAGAAGUCCAUUGUGUGAACACUGUCGACAAAUGCAUCACAAGUCCAGACCCGAUACACAAACAGCACAAUCCCAUUCAAGAGCAGACAAACGUUACAAGGAGACAGAACAGGAUCGCUGACGGGUCUGCCAACUUACAAAAAAAGAGCCCAUUUUUGGUGUUCCGGGUGCAGAGCCACAAUUCCUCACUUGACUGCACUUUGCAAUCAGGCCUUUAAGCCUUGUAGCUGCCACAUUUACCACAUGACUAUUCCUUACCAACCCCCCAUGUCAGGGACUCUU